This 433-nucleotide ribosomal RNA is filed under the name uncultured bacterium. RNAcentral describes it as "partial 16S ribosomal RNA". It matches the Rfam family "Bacterial small subunit ribosomal RNA", at positions 29 to 507 of the family's 1533-position model. The record is from RNAcentral.
AGCGAACGCUGGCGGCAGGCCUAACACAUGCAAGUCGAACGAACUCUUCGGAGUUAGUGGCGGACGGGUGAGUAACACGUGGGAACGUGCCUUUAGGUUCGGAAUAACUCUGGGAAACUUGAGCUAAUACCGGAUGUGCUCUUCGGGGGAAAGAUUGAUCGCCCUUAGAGCGGCCCGCGACCGAUUAGCUUGUUGGUGAGGUAAAGGCCCACCACGGCGACGCUCAGUAGCUGGGCUGAGAGGAUGGUCAGCCACAUUGGGACUGGGACACGGCCCAAACUCCUGCGGGAGGCAGCAGUGGGGAAUCUUGCGCAAUGGGCGAAAUCCUGACGCAGCCAUGCCGCGUGAAUGAUGAAGGUCUUAAGAUUGUAAAAUUCUUUAACCGGGGACGAUAAUGACGGUACCCGGAGAAGAAGCCCCGGCUAACUUCGUG